AACCUCUCUGCCUUUCCUCCCCUUUUGAACCCACAGCCAAUUUUCACGCUGGGAACAGCCUCACCCCGCAGCCCCGGCCCCAAACGCUCCUCGGGCGCUGACAUCGAAAUCCUCCAGCGGUGCCCCCGCCGCCUCCAGCAACCAAACGAACGGACCGCGUCCCACCGCCCCCGACGGCCGCCCGGCAUCCCGCGGUCCGACCCCUCCUGCACGGCCGUGUUCUGCUCCGCUGGGAGAUAACCUGGGAUUCUCCUCGUUAUUUAUCGUGGCAGCUGCUUAAACUCCGCAGCGGAAGCUGCCCGAAGUUGUUAGCGUUACGCUUCGAUCUCUUUCGGAAAUUGUGGCUUUGAUUUCUGCGCUGCUUUGCAUUAGGUGUCUAUAUACACAGAAGUGUAUAUACACAGAAGUGUACGUAUUUUUUUAAUGCUUUUUUUUUUCUUUUCUUUUUUUUCUUUUCUUUUUUUCUUUUUCUUUUCUAAUAGCGGAAUAUGAAAGGCACCCGAGUGAGCCAUCAGCCCGGGCAAUUAGAACAGGAUCAUCCUAUCCUAGAUUACCCCGAGGUGCAAGGAGCACUGAGUCCAACUCCAGCAUGUUGGUGCUGUGCCCACUGCCCUGGGAAGCCCCUUCCAUGCCCACUGCCCUCUGGUGAAGAACCUUUCCCUAACCCCCACCUGACCCUCCCCUGAUGCAGCUCCAUGUUGUCCCCUCUGGCCCUGUCGCUGUCUCCAGAGAGCAGAGCUCAUCUCCAGCUCUCCCUGCAGCCAUGAGGGGGCUGCAGGCUGCCACAAGGCCUCCCUUCAGCCCCUACUUCUCUGGGCUGAACGAACCAAAGGACCUCAGCCACUCCUCGUACAUUCUUCCCUCCAGGCCCUUCCCCAUAUCUGUAGCCCUCCACUGGGAUUUCUGUGAUCGUUUUAUGUUCUUAUUUUGUGGUGCCCAAACGGCGCACGGUGAUCAAGGUGAGGCCACUCCGUGCAGAGCAGACCCACUCAGGGUCCAAAUCUGCUCCUGAUGUCACCACCUUAUUUUCACUACCAGGUUAAGCAGGGCGAAACCCAUGUCAUAUGUACACAGGGCCACAUUCCUACUCAAGAGACACCUUGCCCACGUAGGUUAAAUUUAUAGCCACUUUGUUGGGUUUUUUUAACAUAUGUUUACCUAUUGCUUAAAUGCUUAAUCAUCCUUGAUCAUUUCUCCUUCUUUAUCCAUCCAUAGAACCUUUGCUUUUCUGCUUCAUCGUUUUGCAGUACAAUGGAUAAGGAUUACCAUGUGGGUCACUCCAAAUUACUUUUGCUCUUUUUCUUCAUUCCCAUCGUUGUAGAAAAUGUUCCCACUGUGGUAUAGUUGUGUUCUGACAAAGUUGGUCAGUUUUCAGCUUUUCACAGAUAAGUUUUGGGAUUAUUCCUGUACUCUCUCUGCAAAAUGCAGUCUGUCAAGGAAGAUCUUUGGAAAGGUAAAUUUAUCUGU
Molecule: long non-coding RNA, 1467 nt
Organism: Gallus gallus (chicken)
Lineage: Eukaryota; Metazoa; Chordata; Aves; Galliformes; Phasianidae
Source: Ensembl